This 518-nucleotide ribosomal RNA is filed under the name uncultured bacterium. RNAcentral's name for it is "bacterial SSU rRNA". It matches the Rfam family "Bacterial small subunit ribosomal RNA", at positions 791 to 1307 of the family's 1533-position model. The record is from RNAcentral.
UAGUCCACGCCCUAAACGAUGGAUACUAGACGUCGGAACACCUAAUAGUUUCGGUGUUGAAGCUAACGCAUUAAGUAUCCCGCCUGGGGAGUACGGUCGCAAGAUUAAAACUCAAAGGAAUUGACGGGGGCCCGCACAAGCGGUGGAGCAUGUGGUUUAAUUCGAUGCUACGCGAAGAACCUUACCAGGGCUUAAAUGUAGUCUGACAGCUUUAGAGAUAGAGUUUUCUUCGGACAGAUUACAAGGUGCUGCAUGGUUGUCGUCAGCUCGUGCCGUGAGGUGUCAGGUUAAGUCCUAUAACGAGCGCAACCCCUGUUGUUAGUUGCCAGCGAGUAAUGUCGGGAACUCUAGCAAGACUGCCGGUAGCAAACCGCGAGGAAGGUGGGGAUGACGUCAAAUCAUCACGGGCCCUUACGGUCCUGGGCCACGACACGUGCUACAAUGGUAGGUACAGAGAGCAGCCACGUCGCGAGGCGGAGCGAAUCUAUAAAACCUAUCUCAGUUCGGAUCGGAGUCUG